UUUAUAAUUAUUAAUAAAAAUAAUUUUAUAUAUUAAAGUUUAAGUAUAUUUUAUAGAAAAAAUUUUAUUUAUAAUAGAGAAAUAGUAUUGAGAAAGAAAAUUGAAAUAAAAGUAUAAUUAUUAAAAAGUAAAAUUUAUUUUUUGUACCUUGUGUAUCAGGGUUUAUUAAAUAAAAAUUAAAUAUAUUAAUUUUCUCGAUUUUAAGAGAGCUAAUAAAUUAUUUUUUUUAUUGUUAAAAAAAUAUUUAUAAUAAUUUAUUGGUAAUGAAAUGUUAUUCGUUCUUAAAAAUAUCUAGUUUAUUUAGAAAUGAAUUUAAUUCAAAUAUUUUAAUUUUAAUAAUUUAAUUAGUUAAAUUAUUAAAUUUUAAUAUUAAUAAUUAAAGGGAUUAGCUUUUAAUUAAAAAUUUAUAAAUUAUGAAAUUAUUUUAAAAAAUGUAAGUUUAGAAAUAGCUAUCAUUAAUAAUUUGUUAUAAUUAAUUUAUUUUAAGAAAUUAUUUUAUAUAAUUUUAAGUUUUUUAUAAAUAAAUAAUUUUUAAUAUUUAAGAAUUAGUUAUAAUGAUGGAAUUAGUAUAUAAUUUAUAUAUUUAAAUAAUAUUUAUAGUAAAGUUUAUUUAAAGGAAUUCGGCAAAUAUUUUACUCGCCUGUUUAACAAAAACAUGUCUUUUUGGAAUAUAUAUAAAGUCUAACCUGCCCAAUGAAUAAUUUUAAAUGGCUGCAGUAAUUUGACUGUACAAAGGUAGCAUAAUCAUUAGUUUUUUAAUUAAAAGCUUGUAUGAAAGGUUGGACGAGGUAAAAUCUGUCUCUAUUUAAUUUAUUAUAGAAUUUAAUUUUUAAGUUAAAAAGCUUAAAUUUUUAUAAAAGACGAGAAGACCCUAUAGAGCUUUAUAUUUUAUAAAAUAUAUUUAAUUAAGAUUAAUUUAAUUUUUAUUUUAAAAUUUAUUUUAUUGGGGUAAUAGAAAGAUUAAAAAAAUUCUUUUUGAUUAUAUACAUUAAUUUAUGAUUUUAUGAUCCAUUUAUUAUGAUUGAAAGAUUAAGUUACCUUAGGGAUAACAGCGUAAUUUUUUUAGAGAGUUCAUAUCGAUAAAAAAGUUUGCGACCUCGAUGUUGGAUUAAAGAUUAGUUUAGGUGUAGAAGUUUAAAUUUUUGGUCUGUUCGACCAUUAAAUCUUUACAUGAUCUGAGUUCAGACCGGUGUAAGCCAGGUCGGUUUCUAUCUUUAUUAAAUUAAAAUAUUUUAGUACGAAAGGACCAAAUAUUUAAUAUAUUUAUAUUUAUAAUU
Molecule: ribosomal RNA, 1277 nt
Filed under: Harpalus sp.
Lineage: Eukaryota; Metazoa; Arthropoda; Insecta; Coleoptera; Carabidae
Description: 16S ribosomal RNA
Rfam family: Archaeal large subunit ribosomal RNA (bases 1045-1203)
Source: RNAcentral